UGGGGAAUAUUGCACAAUGGGCGCAAGCCUGAUGCAGCCAUGCCGCGUGUAUGAAGAAGGCCUUCGGGUUGUAAAGUACUUUCAGUCGGGAGGAAGGUGGUAAGGUUAAUAACCUUAUCAAUUGACGUUACCGACAGAAGAAGCACCGGCUAACUCCGUGCCAGCAGCCGCGGUAAUACGGAGGGUGCAAGCGUUAAUCGGAAAUACUGGGCGUAAAGCGCACGCAGGCGGUUGAUUGAGUCAGAUGUGAAAUCCCCGGGCUUAACCCGGGAAUUGCAUCUGAUACUGGUCAGCUAGAGUCUUGUAGAGGGGGGUAGAAUUCCAUGUGUAGCGGUGAAAUGCGUAGAGAUGUGGAGGAAUACCGGUGGCGAAGGCGGCCCCCUGGACUAAGACUGACGCUCAGGUGCGAAAGCGUGGGGAGCAAACAGG
This 429-nucleotide ribosomal RNA is filed under the name Chloroflexota bacterium. RNAcentral's name for it is "Chloroflexi bacterium partial 16S ribosomal RNA". It matches the Rfam family "Bacterial small subunit ribosomal RNA", at positions 355 to 776 of the family's 1533-position model. Lineage: Bacteria; Bacillati; Chloroflexota. The record is from RNAcentral.